RNAcentral lists this long non-coding RNA (1021 nucleotides) under Coturnix japonica (Japanese quail). RNAcentral describes it as "lncRNA (ENSCJPG00005012003.1)". The record is from RNAcentral. Lineage: Eukaryota; Metazoa; Chordata; Aves; Galliformes; Phasianidae.
GCCGCUUGCCCCGUGAAUACACAGCGUCACCUUCGAAGGAGUCCGGGCAAGGAAGGAUGGGAGACGCACUGCUCCGACGGAGCGGGGAGGAACGCGCUGGGCACCCCCGGGGUCACCGCGCCGGAGAGCGCACACCGGGGGGCGCUGCGCGCCCGCGGCGCAGCUCCGAGGCUCGGGCAGGCUGGGAGCCAGGCAGCGAGGCAGAAGGGCCGGAGAAGGAUGCGGGGCAGCUCGCUUUCCCCCGAUAGAAGGAGUUGGGUGGUGAUGCAGGGAAAGCCCGGGCACAGCUGAGAGCAGCCGCCUGUUCCAGAGCGCUGACGAUAAAAUAAGAAAACUAAUUCCCACCGCCCACCCUGCGAGCGAAACUGGAGCGGCGUUCCUACUCUCCGACAGCAAAAACUGUUCCAAAGGCGCUUCUCGGUCCCGCCCAUACUGUGUUCCUUCCCCACCCAGGGACGACGUUUCCGUGUCACCUCUGCUCACAGUGCUGGUCUCUCCUGCCCCGUCCCACAGCGCUGCGCUCUGGAGCCGUCGGUUUUUGCACCUGCGAAAACUACGCGGCAGCGUUUAGCUCUUCGCAGACUGAAAGCCGGGAAUGUCACAGCGCUGAGCCCCAGGUGGCUCCCAAGAGAGAUGCCCGUCGGCGGCAGCUGCAGCACCCCGAGCACGCAGCUCUGGGAGACUGUUCAUCAUACGAGGAAUCCCAGAGCAACACAGCAGCUCCUUCCCAGGAAGGAUGAGUUUGUCACUGCUCCAAAACAGAUAACUGGGCUCCCAGCUGGUGGCAUUUGGUGGCUGUUCCUUCAGAGGGGAUAUUGGAGAAGCAGCACUGGUACCAUUCGUCUGUCCCCUUUUCAUCUGGUGCCCACAAGGAAUAAAGUAGCAGGUAACACCUCUCCUCACUCCCACAGUGGGAAUCUGGUGCUGGUACAUUGCUGCAUUUCCACAUUAAAUUAGUAAUAAUAAUCGUAAAGAGAGGAAAAAAUGAAGAGCAAACUGUUGCUUUGCUUCCAUAGAAAAC